UUUAAGUCAGAUGUGAAAGACCCGGGGCGUUAACCUCGGAAUUGCAUUUGUAAACUAGGCAGGCUAGAGUCUUGUAGAGGGGGGUAGGAAGUUUACUAGGUGUAGCGGUGAAAUAGCGUAGAGAUCUGAAGGAAUACCAGUGGCGAAGGCGGCCCCCUCGGACAAAGACUGACGCUCAGAUGCGAAAGCGUGGGGAGCAAACAGGAUUAGAUACCCCUGGUAG
Molecule: ribosomal RNA, 223 nt
Filed under: uncultured bacterium
Lineage: Bacteria
Description: partial 16S ribosomal RNA
Rfam family: Bacterial small subunit ribosomal RNA
Source: RNAcentral